RNAcentral lists this ribosomal RNA (2895 nucleotides) under Triticum aestivum (bread wheat). RNAcentral's name for it is "partial small subunit ribosomal RNA". Lineage: Eukaryota; Viridiplantae; Streptophyta; Magnoliopsida; Poales; Poaceae. The record is from RNAcentral.
AUGGCGUCUGCUUCGAUCACGUUCGUGCUGAACCGGCUGGGGGAGCUGGCGGUGAAGGAGGCGGCGCUGCUGAGCGGCGUGGGCGACGACAUCCGGCUGCUCCGGGACAAGCUCGAGUGGCUGCAGACCUUCAUCCAGGACGCCGACCAGGAGCGGCGCGAGGGCGCCAACCAGUACGUGGGUCUCUGGGUCCGCCAGACCCGCGAUGUGGCGCACGAGGUGGAGGACGUCCUCGACGAGUUCCUCCGCCGCCUCGACCACGACACGCUGCGGCAGGGGGUCCCCGCCUGGAGGAGGUGGCUCAGACUCGCCGCCUCCUGCACCACCCAGGUCUCCGUCCGCCAUGACCUCCGGGAGCGGAUGGACGGCAUCAAGAACAGGCUCAAGGAGAUCUCUGACAACGUCGACAAGUACAAGAUCAGGACGUUCCGCCCCUCCGCCCCCGGCGCUUCUUCGUCGGCCCACAAUUCUACCAUCAACACCGUCCCCGCAUGGGAUGAGGGGAGCGAAGUGGUUGGCUUUAAAGAUGAACGUGCAGAGCUGCAACGUUAUCUUCUCGCUGGUGAUGAUACUAGCAGAUCUGUCAUGUCACUAGUUGGGGAGAGUGGCACUGGCAAAUCCACACUUGCAUGGGAAGUGUAUGACAGUCCUAUUAUCCGGAAGCAUUUUGAUGUCCGAGCCUGGAUCAAUGUCCCACCACAAAUAAGAGAUGAUGACAUCUUGUACUUCAUCUACAAGCGUUUGUGUCCCGAGAGUGAGGCCUGUGAACAAAAAAAUUCGAUCACAGAAAAAGUUCAUAAAGCCCUCUCGCUGUACCUGAAGAAUAAACGCUACCUGGUGAUGCUUGAUGGCCUGGUCAAUUUCAGCAACUGGCACUCCAUACUCCAUAGCCUACCACAGAAUGAGAAAGGCAGUAGAGUGAUGGUCAUCACUCGCCUGGAGGACAAAGAAGCUGCAUAUGCUAACCCAAAAGUUAGCACCCUCAAGAUAGGCAAGCUCGACAAAAAAGAUAGCUCAUCGCUAUUUCGUCGCAGAGUCUUUGGGGCCAACAACCAAUUUAAAGAGAAGAUCCUUGGCAGCAAAAUCUCAGAACCCAAUGUAAAUAUGGAGAAGGCAUGCGAGAACAUGUUCAAGAUAACCCACGGACUACCCUUGGCCAUUGUGGUGCUGGCUGGGCUUCUUCGGACAAAGAGCAUAUCAGAGUGGGAAGAGGUGUUGAAGAAGCUCGAGUCGGAUAAUGAGCCAAAGCAAGUGAAAAGGAUCUUGGCUUUGAGCUUUGAUGAUCUCCCAAGUCGGCUCAAGUCUUGCUUCCUAUAUUUUGCAGGAGUGCCAGAGAACCUGAUCUACAAUGCGAGACGCCUCGUGCGGCUAUGGGCCGCCGAGGGGUUUCUGAAGCCAAAGAAGGGGAAAACCAUGGAGGACAUUGGUCAGAACUACCUGAAGGAGCUGAUCUCAAGGGAGAUGAUCCGCCUGGUGAAGAGGGACAUGAAUGGAGGUGUUUGGCUUGUUGCUAUCCAUGACCGUCUCCAUGCUUUUGCACAGGCAGAAGCACAUGAGGCGAGUUUCCUUGAGGCACAUGACAAUGCUGAUCUCCUUGCACCCGGUGCAGUUCGCCGUCUGCACCUCCAGAACUACACAGAGACAUAUAUACCAAUGGGCACCGCAUUCCCUAAGAUGCGGUCCAUCUUGGGUGAUUUUGCUGAGGAAAGAUCACAGAAUGGGAAACGAUCGCUUAGCUCCAAAGUAAGAGCGCAUGGCCAAUUGAAGAAGCAAGGUAACAAUAGUGAUUUACGCUACCAUGCUCUCCGUUUUCUGCCGGCAUCCAAGUUCCUCCGUGUAAUUGAUCUCCGGGGGUUAAGGAUAAAAAAGGUGCCUGGUGCAAUUGGGGAUAUGAUCCAUGUAAGGUACCUAGGGCUCCGGAGUCGCUCCCUUACCAAACUCCCUUCCUCCAUUGCUCGUCUCAUCAACCUUCAGACACUUGACAUAAAGAGAACUGAGGUGAAGAAGGUGACACGAGCAUUCUGGGAGAUUCCGACGCUGCGGCAUGUUGUGGCCAACAUGCUAGGACUGCCAAAGUCAGCUGGGGUGCUCAACAACAUGCAAACACUCACAGGCUUGCUUUGCUCUGAUCGUUUAGGCAACGACAUCAAGCCUUUACAAAACAUGGUUUAUCUUCGCAACUUGCAGAUUUCAGGUCUGGAUAACCGGCACUGGGAAGCACUUAGAGAAGUGUUCAAGAAGCUUGAGUCACUCAUGUACCUGCAGCUUGCUGGGAAAGAUAUUCCACUCGAACUCUUCACGAAAUUCACACUGCGCCGCCUGCAGAUCCUAGAGCUGCUCGGGAAAAUCGACAAAUCAAGUGUUAAUGAGGAGGACCAGUACACACUACCCAAUGUCACUAGGCUAGUGCUCAAGCUAUCAUUGGCAGAUCAGAAGUUCAUUGACAAGAUAGGUGAGCUGCCAAGCCUCAUGGAGCUAGUAUUGUCCGAAGAUUCCUACUGUGAAGAAAAUCUCUUGUUUUCUGAUAAAGGAUUCAACAAUGUCACAAGCUUGGUGAUGGCCAACCUAACAAUGGUGAAAAAGUGGACAAUACGACCCAUGUCCAUUCCGAAGGUUCAAAAGAUCGUUCUAUCUGGUUGCCCCAACAUGGAGAUCAAGCUUGAAGGGAAAGAAGGGGAAGAAAGCCUAGAAGGUUUGAUGGCAGAUCUCAAGGAAGUAGUGGUCUGCAACAUGCUGCAAGAGGGCUCCAUCAUCGUCAAGCCUGCAAAUUCUGCCUUUGAGGAGAAGAUCAACCAUGUGGCCAUCAAAACGAAGAGUGAAGACAUAACAGGUGCAACGCAACGAGAUGGAAGGUGGAGGGCAGGUAUGAUAGCUGGCAACAUGUACCAGAACUAG